CCUACGGGGGGCAGCAGUGGGGGAUAUUGCACAAUGGGGGGAACCCUGAUGCAGCGACGCCGCGUGAAGGAAGAAGUAUCUCGGUAUGUAAACUUCUAUCAGCAGGGAAGAAAAUGACGGUACCUGACUAAGAAGCCCCGGCUAACUACGUGCCAGCAGCCGCGGUAAUACGUAGGGGGCAAGCGGUAUCCGGAUUUACUGGGUGUAAAGGGAGCGUAGGCGGCAGUGCAAGUCAGAAGUGAAAGCCCGGGGCUCAACUCCGGGACUGCUUUUGAAACUGUACAGCUAGAUUGCAGGAGAGGCAAGUGGAAUUCCUAGUGUAGCGGUGAAAUGCGUAGAUAUUAGGAGGAACACCAGUGGCGAAGGCGGCUUGCUGGACUGUAAAUGACGCUGAGGCUCGAAAGCGUGGGGAGCAAACAGGAUUAGAUACCCGAGUAGUC
RNAcentral lists this ribosomal RNA (440 nucleotides) under uncultured bacterium. RNAcentral describes it as "partial 16S ribosomal RNA". It matches the Rfam family "Bacterial small subunit ribosomal RNA", at positions 338 to 795 of the family's 1533-position model. The record is from RNAcentral.